RNAcentral lists this transfer RNA (72 nucleotides) under Bos taurus (domestic cattle). It matches the Rfam family "tRNA". Rfam says of the family: Transfer RNA (tRNA) molecules are approximately 80 nucleotides in length. Their secondary structure includes four short double-helical elements and three loops (D, anti-codon, and T loops). Further hydrogen bonds mediate the characteristic L-shaped molecular structure. tRNAs have two regions of fundamental functional importance: the anti-codon, which is responsible for specific mRNA codon recognition, and the 3' end, to which the tRNAs corresponding amino acid is attached (by aminoacyl-tRNA synthetases). tRNAs cope with the degeneracy of the genetic code in two manners: having more than one tRNA (with a specific anti-codon) for a particular amino acid; and 'wobble' base-pairing, i.e. permitting non-standard base-pairing at the 3rd anti-codon position. Lineage: Eukaryota; Metazoa; Chordata; Mammalia; Artiodactyla; Bovidae. The record is from Rfam by way of RNAcentral. RNAcentral also lists the same sequence under 5 other names.
UCCCUGGUGGCUCAGAUGGUAAAGCGUCUGCCUGCAAUGCAGGAGACCUGGGUUGGAUUCCUGGGUGGGGAA